GCCCUGAGAGCCGUGAAGAGUUUUAUUUGGCGAGUGAAUGAGCCAGUUUUGGUUGCCAUGGCUACCUUGAUGUCCUGGGCCGAUUGAAGACAUUUCCUCUGCGGGAUCAUUUAAACUUCGGAGGGAAGCCAGAAGUUGCACGGGGCCAGACCUGUGCUGGUGAUCAAAUACAGAACCUCACAUGUGUUAG
This is a long non-coding RNA of Cavia porcellus (domestic guinea pig), 190 nucleotides long. RefSeq lists it as uncharacterized. The record is from RefSeq and is a predicted model, not a curated record. The transcript is spliced from 3 exons. Lineage: Eukaryota; Metazoa; Chordata; Mammalia; Rodentia; Caviidae.